This is a non-coding RNA of Heterocephalus glaber (naked mole-rat), 250 nucleotides long. NCBI's taxonomy places the organism in Eukaryota, Metazoa, Chordata, Mammalia, Rodentia, Bathyergidae. The record is from RefSeq and is a predicted model, not a curated record.
UUGAGUCUCUACUAUCGACUGGAAAGACACAUACAUGCAGGGACUGUCAAGACUUCACGUCUCACUAUCAAAACUGAAAUCAAGAAAAUGUCCUUCAUGAUUCUACCAUGAUAUUGACUACUACUGAAUUUUCACCUUACACCUCAUGGUGGGGACCACAGUCACCCAAUUGGGAAUCUUAAAUGUGAUGUGUACAAUCAGAUUCCAGAGCAGCCAGGACAAGUGGGAACUCUCAACUUCCAACAACAAG